Molecule: ribosomal RNA, 142 nt
Filed under: Neonauclea forsteri
Lineage: Eukaryota; Viridiplantae; Streptophyta; Magnoliopsida; Gentianales; Rubiaceae
Description: 5.8S ribosomal RNA
Rfam family: 5.8S ribosomal RNA
About the family: 5.8S ribosomal RNA (5.8S rRNA) is a component of the large subunit of the eukaryotic ribosome. It is transcribed by RNA polymerase I as part of the 45S precursor that also contains 18S and 28S rRNA.
Source: RNAcentral
UAUCUCGGCUCUCGCAUCGAUGAAGAACGUAGCGAAAUGCGAUACUUGGUGUGAAUUGCAGAAUCCCGUGAACCAUCGAGUCUUUGAACGCAAGUUGCGCCCGAAGCCGUCAGGCCAAGGGCACGUCUGCCUGGGCGUCACG